UGGGGAAUUUUGGACAAUGGGCGAAAGCCUGAUCCAGCAAUGCCGCGUGUGUGAAGAAGGCCUUCGGGUUGUAAAGCACUUUUGUCCGGAAAGAAAUCCUUGGCUCUAAUACAGUCGGGGGAUGACGGUACCGGAAGAAUAAGCACCGGCUAACUACGUGCCAGCAGCCGCGGUAAUACGUAGGGUGCAAGCGUUAAUCGGAAUUACUGGGCGUAAAGCGUGCGCAGGCGGUUUGCUAAGACCGAUGUGAAAUCCCCGGGCUCAACCUGGGAACUGCAUUGGUGACUGGCAGGCUAGAGUAUGGCAGAGGGGGGUAGAAUUCCACGUGUAGCAGUGAAAUGCGUAGAGAUGUGGAGGAAUACCGAUGGCGAAGGCAGCCCCCUGGCCAAGUACUGACGCUCAUGCACGAAAGCGUGGGGAGCAAACAGGAUUAAUACCCUGGUAGUCCACGCCCUAAACGAUGUCAACUAGUUGUUGGGGAUUCAUUUCCUUAGUAACGUAGCUAACGCGUGAAGUUGACCGCCUGGGGAGUACGGUCGC
Molecule: ribosomal RNA, 540 nt
Filed under: uncultured bacterium
Lineage: Bacteria
Description: partial 16S ribosomal RNA
Rfam family: Bacterial small subunit ribosomal RNA
Source: RNAcentral